Drosophila mauritiana is the source of this 669-nucleotide long non-coding RNA. RefSeq lists it as uncharacterized. The transcript is spliced from 2 exons. The record is from RefSeq and is a predicted model, not a curated record. NCBI's taxonomy places the organism in Eukaryota, Metazoa, Arthropoda, Insecta, Diptera, Drosophilidae.
AUUAAUAGCACAUUGCAAAUUUAUUGUGACUUGCUAGUGGUGUUGGGUGGCGUCGUGGAACACGUGGAUAAACUCCCGAACAUUCCACGAAAACGGAGGAGAAAAACUAAAACACGUGCGCACGCUAGAAACCCCAAGGGCCAACUGGCGAAACUGACGAAAAUCGACUAGAGGUGGAGAAGAAUUGAUGCCAACAUCGAUGUCAAACAUCGAUAUUUUCGAAGAAUCACAAACAUCGGUUUGUUUUUUCGAGGAAUCAUCGUAUAAAAUGUAAGUACAAAUUAAUUUUGCAUAUCUUUUAAUACAAUUAUUAAUAGCACAUUGCAAAUUUAUUGUGACUUGCUAGUGGUGUUGGGUGGCGUCGUGAAAGACAUGGAGAACAUGGUGGAGAAACAUCGAUGCAAACAUCUCUAAAAUCGACGCAUGUACGAAAUGGUGUACAAGGAGAAUGCAGUGAUAAUGCGAGCAGCUGAGCAUUGCCGUCUCGCUCGCACGCGUGCGGUGCGUGUGUGUACGUGAGAAUGCGCACAGCAAAGGCAACAGCGAAAAAUUCCGGUUGUGAAAAAGGGAGAAAGAAAAAAGCGUUUGUUACAACCAGGGGCGUUAGAAAAGGGUUGUGCCAAUGUAGAUUUGGUCUAAAUCAGUAAACAAAUAAAUAGCAAAACGGUA